RNAcentral lists this ribosomal RNA (490 nucleotides) under uncultured bacterium. RNAcentral describes it as "partial 16S ribosomal RNA". It matches the Rfam family "Bacterial small subunit ribosomal RNA", at positions 29 to 505 of the family's 1533-position model. The record is from RNAcentral.
AGUGAACGCUGGCGGUAGGCCUAACACAUGCAAGUCGAACGGCAGCACAGUAAGAGCUUGCUCUUACGGGUGGCGAGUGGCGGACGGGUGAGGAAUACAUCGGAAUCUACUUUUUCGUGGGGGAUAACGUAGGGAAACUUACGCUAAUACCGCAUACGACCUACGGGUGAAAGCAGGGGAUCUUCGGACCUUGCGCGAUUGAAUGAGCCGAUGUCGGAUUAGCUAGUUGGCGGGGUAAAGGCCCACCAAGGCGACGAUCCGUAGCUGGUCUGAGAGGAUGAUCAGCCACACUGGAACUGAGACACGGUCCAGACUCCUACGGGAGGCAGCAGUGGGGAAUAUUGGACAAUGGGCGCAAGCCGGAUCCAGCCAUACCGCGUGGGUGAAGAAGGCCUUCGGGUUGUAAAGCCCUUUUGUUGGGAAAGAAAAGCAGCAGGUUAAUACCCCGCUGUUCUGACGGUACCCAAAGAAUAGGCACCGGCUAACUUCG